Molecule: ribosomal RNA, 751 nt
Filed under: uncultured fungus
Lineage: Eukaryota; Fungi
Description: eukaryotic LSU rRNA
Rfam family: 5.8S ribosomal RNA (bases 186-340)
Source: RNAcentral
CGGGUUGUUGCUGGCCCCCAAACCGGGCACGUGCACGCCCUGUUUACGCAUCCACUCACACCUGUGCACCCUCUGUAGUUCUGUGGACCGGGAGACGUCGUCUUCCUUCCGUGGCUCUACGUCUUUACACACACGCCGUAGCGAAGUCUCAUGGAAUGUUUUUCGCGUUUAACGCAAUACAAUACAACUUUCAGCAACGGAUCUCUUGGCUCUCGCAUCGAUGAAGAACGCAGCGAAAUGCGAUAAGUAAUGUGAAUUGCAGAAUUCAGUGAAUCAUCGAAUCUUUGAACGCACCUUGCGCCCCUUGGUCAUUCCUCGGGGCAUGCCUGUUUGAGUAUCAUGAACACCUCAACUCUCGUGGUCUUCCAUGAUGAGCUUGGACUUUGGGGGUUUGCUGGCCCUGUGGCCGGCUCCUCUCAAACGAAUCAGCUUGCCAGUGUUUGGCGGCGUCACGGGUGUGAUAACCAUCUACGCUUGCGAUCGCCUGCCAGAUAACCCUCAGCGAUGAAGGUUCAUUGGGGCUCACAAAAGUCUCUCCACGGCGAGGACGAAUUUUGAAUGUUCGAUCUCAAAUCAGGUAGGACUACCCGCUGAACUUAAGCAUAUCAAUAAGCGGAGGAAAAGAAACUAACAAGGAUUCCCCUAGUAACUGCGAGUGAAGCGGGAAGAGCUCAAAUUUAAAAUCUGGCGUGCCUCCGGUCGUCCGAAUUGUAGUCUGGAGAAGCGUUUUCCGUGCUGGACCGUGUACAAA